RNAcentral lists this ribosomal RNA (551 nucleotides) under uncultured bacterium. RNAcentral describes it as "bacterial SSU rRNA". It matches the Rfam family "Bacterial small subunit ribosomal RNA", at positions 355 to 896 of the family's 1533-position model. The record is from RNAcentral.
UGGGGAAUCUUCCGCAAUGGGCGAAAGCCUGACGGAGCAACGCCGCGUGAGUGAAGACGGCCUUCGGGUUGUAAAGCUCUGUUAUACGGGACGAAUAGUCUUGUGGUUAAUACCCAUGAGAAGUGACGGUACCGUAAGAGAAAGCCACGGCUAACUACGUGCCAGCAGCCGCGGUAAUACGUAGGUGGCAAGCGUUGUCCGGAAUUAUUGGGCGUAAAGGGCGCGCAGGCGGCUUCUUAAGUCUGUCUUAAAAGUGCGGGGCUUAACCCCGUGAUGGGAUGGAAACUGGGAAGCUCAGAGUAUCGGAGAGGAAAGCGGAAUUCCUAGUGUAGCGGUGAAAUGCGUAGAUAUUAGGAGGAACACCAGUGGCGAAAGCGGCUUUCUGGACGAAAACUGACGCUGAGGCGCGAAAGCCAGGGGAGCGAACGGGAUUAGAUACCCCGGUAGUCCUGGCCGUAAACGAUGAGUACUAGGUGUAGGAGGUAUCGACCCCUUCUGUGCCGGAGUUAACGCAAUAAGUACCCCGCCUGGGGAGUACGGCCGCAAGGUUG